This 552-nucleotide ribosomal RNA is filed under the name Bacillus safensis. Its description in RNAcentral is "bacterial SSU rRNA". It matches the Rfam family "Bacterial small subunit ribosomal RNA", at positions 752 to 1304 of the family's 1533-position model. Lineage: Bacteria; Bacillati; Bacillota; Bacilli; Caryophanales; Bacillaceae. The record is from RNAcentral.
AGCGAAAGCGUGGGGAGCGAACCGGAUAAUAUACCCUGGUAGUCCACGCCGUAAACGAUGAGUGCUAAGUGUUAGGGGGUUUCCGCCCCUUAGUGCUGCAGCUAACGCAUUAAGCACUCCGCCUGGGGAGUACGGUCGCAAGACUGAAACUCAAAGGAAUUGACGGGGGCCCGCACAAGCGGUGGAGCAUGUGGUUUAAUUCGAAGCAACGCGAAGAACCUUACCAGGUCUUGACAUCCUCUGACAACCCUAGAGAUAGGGCUUUCCCUUCGGGGACAGAGUGACAGGUGGUGCAUGGUUGUCGUCAGCUCGUGUCGUGAGAUGUUGGGUUAAGUCCCGCAACGAGCGCAACCCUUGAUCUUAGUUGCCAGCAUUCAGUUGGGCACUCUAAGGUGACUGCCGGUGACAAACCGGAGGAAGGUGGGGAUGACGUCAAAUCAUCAUGCCCCUUAUGACCUGGGCUACACACGUGCUACAAUGGACAGAACAAAGGGCUGCAAGACCGCAAGGUUUAGCCAAUCCCAUAAAUCUGUUCUCAGUUCGGAUCGCAGU